RNAcentral lists this ribosomal RNA (253 nucleotides) under uncultured bacterium. RNAcentral describes it as "partial 16S ribosomal RNA". It matches the Rfam family "Bacterial small subunit ribosomal RNA", at positions 524 to 776 of the family's 1533-position model. The record is from RNAcentral.
UACGGAGGGUGCGAGCGUUGUCCGGAAUCACUGGGCGUAAAGGGCGCGUAGGUGGCGACUCAAGUCAACGGUGAAAGCUCGACGCUCAACGUCGAGUCGGCCGUCGAAACUGGGACGCUUGAGCACUGUAGAGGCAGAUGGAAUUCCCGGUGUAGCGGUGAAAUGCGCAGAUAUCGGGAGGAACACCGGUGGCGAAGGCGGUUCUCUGGGCCUGUACUGACGCUGAGGAGCGAAAGCGUGGGGAGCGAACAGG